This 486-nucleotide ribosomal RNA is filed under the name uncultured bacterium. RNAcentral's name for it is "partial 16S ribosomal RNA". It matches the Rfam family "Bacterial small subunit ribosomal RNA", at positions 28 to 507 of the family's 1533-position model. The record is from RNAcentral.
GAUGAACGCUGGCGGCGUGCCUAAUACAUGCAAGUCGAACGCUGGAAAUCUAGCUUGCUCGAUUGAAGGAGUGGCGAACGGGUGAGUAAUACAUAAGCAACCUACCCACGAAGACUGGGAUAAUCUCUGGAAACGGGGACUAAUACCGGAUAGGUAAUCGGAAGGCAUCUUCUGAUUAUUAAAGGUUAAAAACACUGGUGGAUGGGCUUAUGGCGCAUUAGUUAGUUGGUGAGGUAACGGCCCACCAAGACGAUGAUGCGUAGCCGGCCUGAGAGGGUGAACGGCCACAUUGGGACUGAGACACGGCCCAGACUGCUACGGGAGGCAGCAGUAGGGAAUUGUCGGCAAUGGGGGAAACCCUGACCGAGCAACGCCGCGUGAGUGAUGACGGCCUUCGGGGUGUAAAGCUCUGUUGUAAGGGAAGAACGGUAGAUAGAGAAUAUCUAAAUGACGGUACCUUACCAGAAAGCCACGGCUAACUACGUG